GGAGAACCCAUAUGCCUGGAAAAGUAAGACUAGGAGGUGAAUCAGGGCUCGCUGAGAGCAGCCGCAGAAGUCUGCAGAGUUCCUCUCAGCGCGGAGCUGGAGCCGGAGCCGUGAAGGGAAUCACUGUGAAAAAGUUAGAGAACACAGCUGUGAAACCAGAGGCUCCAGAAAACUGAAAAAAGAACGAACCUUUUACUGACCGAAAGAAGCAAAUGCCCAAGAGAGAAGAAAGCGGAGAAGUAAGGGAUUCAGAAUGUGGCUGCUAAAAUGUGGAAAAUGAAAAUGAACGGCCCACAAAUUUCUGAAAUGAAGUUAAAGGAAGAUCAUGCUAUGAAAAAGCGUGGGAAAGGCACACAUUUCAAGUCAGGUACAAAGGAUCGAACUCAGGACCUCACACUUACCACUUAUGAGUCAGGUGCAGUGCCACAGAGCUGAAGCCCCAGCCCUAUUAUACUGUACUCUUAAGGAAAUAGUGAAAAGAAAAAUCUAUAAAUGUUCAGUACAGAUGAAAUUUUUUCCAAAUAUUUUUCAUAAAUGGUUGCUUGAAACUGCUGAUGUGGAACCCAUGCAUACAGAGGCCAACUGUAUUAGAAAAGGAGAAAAAUAGAAAAUUAAUGAGCUAGGCAUCCAGUUUACGAAGUCAGAAAAGGAACAGUAGAAUAAAUCUAUAAAAGAACUAAAAUUAAGAGCAGAAAGCUAUUUUUUAAAAAAACACAUUUAAAUAUCCAGUAGAAAGGAUCAACAGAGCCAAAAGUUGAUUAAAAAGAAAAAAAAAAACCUAUGGUCAAAAUUGAGAGAACAGAGAUUUAAAAAUUCCUAAGACAGCACUACAAAAAUAGUUAUGCUGCUCUGUCUAAAUCUAAGAAUAUAUAUGUGCAUAUGCAUAUAAUGCCUGUCCUAUACACGCCCACAUAUUUAUUAUCUACAAAAUCUCCC
This 936-nucleotide long non-coding RNA is filed under the name Heterocephalus glaber (naked mole-rat). Its description in RNAcentral is "lncRNA (ENSHGLG00000036032.1)". The record is from RNAcentral. Lineage: Eukaryota; Metazoa; Chordata; Mammalia; Rodentia; Bathyergidae.